This 618-nucleotide ribosomal RNA is filed under the name Hamigera avellanea. RNAcentral describes it as "LSU rRNA". It matches the Rfam family "Eukaryotic large subunit ribosomal RNA", at positions 75 to 709 of the family's 3401-position model. The record is from RNAcentral. Lineage: Eukaryota; Fungi; Ascomycota; Eurotiomycetes; Eurotiales; Aspergillaceae.
UUGCCUCAGUAACGGCGAGUGAAGCGGCAAGAGCUCAAAUUUGAAAUCUGGCCCCUCCGGGGUCCGAGUUGUAAUUUGCAGAGGAUGCUUCGGAUACGGCCCCCGUCUAAGUGCCCUGGAACGGGCCGUCGGAGAGGGUGAGAAUCCCGUCUGGGACGGGGUGUCCGUGUCCGUGUGAAGCUCCUUCGACGAGUCGAGUUGUUUGGGAAUGCAGCUCUAAAUGGGUGGUAAAUUUCAUCUAAAGCUAAAUAUUGGCCGGAGACCGAUAGCGCACAAGUAGAGUGAUCGAAAGAUGAAAAGCACUUUGAAAAGAGAGUUAAACAGCACGUGAAAUUGUUGAAAGGGAAGCGCUUGCGACCAGACUCGCCGACGGGGUUCAGCCGGGAUUCGUCCCGGUGUACUUCCCCGCCGGCGGGCCAGCGUCGGUUUGGGCGGCCGGUCAAAGGCCUCCGGAAUGUAUCGCCCCCCGGGGCGUCUUAUAGCCGGAGGUGCAAUGCGGCCUGCCCGGACCGAGGAACGCGCUUCGGCACGGACGCUGGCAUAAUGGUCGUAAGCGACCCGUCUUGAAACACGGACCAAGGAGUCUAACAUCUACGCGAGUGUUCGGGUGUCAAACCC